AAAAACAAGGUAUAUGACACCUACUCCUUUUCAGCCUGUCUUGAAACUGAACUGAUUGGAUAUUUGUUCUUGAUAUACACGCAAGCUGCUGUUGAACUCCUUGUUAUUGUCUGUGUGCUUAUAAGUACUUUUUAGUAAAAGUUCCAGAUUUUUUCUGUAUAUAGAAGCUAGGCCAAUUGCUCUAAAAUUUUCAUUUCUGUUUUGCUCUUCAUAAACAGAUGUGGGCCCACAAGAAAGAGGGUAUCUGAAUGUAUGCAUGACGUGAUACAGUGUAAUAGACCAAGAGUUUGGACUAGUGCUGGCUUUUGUCUGAUCUUCAUCAGCUGGAGUUGAGGGCUUGUGCCAGAGUGCAUCACGUACUGAAAGAUGACUGACUUUGUACUGGGGACACCAGGGAUGCUGCCGAAAGCAGGCAACAGAGCCACUGUGGCACUAUGGAUCAAACACAUCCGGAUUUACUUUUAUGCCUCUGAGGUAAACAGUUGCCUGCUGCACUACAUAAAUACUGAAAGAAAAACUCUCCUGGUAAAAGACCUGACCAGCAUGAACUGAGGGUAACUACAGGCAGCUGAGAAGAGCCUAGCUCAG
RNAcentral lists this long non-coding RNA (588 nucleotides) under Anas platyrhynchos platyrhynchos (common mallard). RNAcentral's name for it is "lncRNA (ENSAPLG00000019452.1)". Lineage: Eukaryota; Metazoa; Chordata; Aves; Anseriformes; Anatidae. The record is from RNAcentral.